Molecule: ribosomal RNA, 484 nt
Filed under: uncultured bacterium
Lineage: Bacteria
Description: partial 16S ribosomal RNA
Rfam family: Bacterial small subunit ribosomal RNA
Source: RNAcentral
AUUGAACGCUGGCGGCAGGCCUAACACAUGCAAGUCGAGCGGAUGAAGGGAGCUUUCUCCUGGAUUCAGCGUCGGACGGGGGAGUAAUGCCUAGGAAUCUGCCUGGUAGUGGGGGAUAACGUCCGGAAACGGGCGCUAAUACCGCAUACGUCCUGAGGGUGAAAGUGGGGGAUCUUCGGACCUCUCCAUCUCAGAUGAGCCUAGGUCGGAUUAGCUAGUUGGUGGGGUAAAGGCCUACCAAGGCGACGAUCCGUAACUGGUCUGAGAGGAUGAUCAGUCACACUGGAACUGAGACACGGUCCAGACUCCUACGGGAGGCAGCAGUGGGGAAUAUUGGACAAUGGGCGAAAGCCUGAUCCAGCCAUGCCGCGUGUGUGAAGAAGGUCUUCGGAUUGUAAAGCACUUUAAGUUGGGAGGAAGGGCAGUAAGUUAAUACCUUGCUGUUUUGACGUUACCAACAGAAUAAGCACCGGCUAACUUCGUG